UAGAGUUAAUAACUCAUAACCCCUGUGAACUUUACCUUUAUUUCGUUGCUUCGGCGGUUCCUGACGGCCCAUCCCGCCAGGGGGGGCACGCUAACUGAGCCGCCGGAGGUUACAAACUCUGAAUUUUUAGUGUAUCUCUGAGCCUAAAAACAAAUAAUCA
RNAcentral lists this unclassified non-coding RNA (160 nucleotides) under uncultured Gaeumannomyces. RNAcentral describes it as "sequence contains ITS1". Lineage: Eukaryota; Fungi; Ascomycota; Sordariomycetes; Magnaporthales; Magnaporthaceae. The record is from RNAcentral.